This 344-nucleotide ribosomal RNA is filed under the name uncultured bacterium. Its description in RNAcentral is "bacterial SSU rRNA". It matches the Rfam family "Bacterial small subunit ribosomal RNA", at positions 1 to 339 of the family's 1533-position model. The record is from RNAcentral.
GUCUCACAGUUUGAUCCUGGCUCAGAACGAACGCUGGCGGCGCGCCUAAUACAUGCAAGUCGAGCGAGAAGACGUAGCAAUACGUUGUAAAGCGGCGAACGGGUGAGGAAUACAUGGGUAACCUACCCUCGAGUGGGGAAUAACUAGCCGAAAGGUUAGCUAAUACCGCGUACGCUCCUUGGACUUCGGUUCGGGGAGGAAAGCGAUACCGUGGGUAUCGCGCUCUUGGAUGGGCUCAUGUCCUAUCAGCUUGUUGGUGAGGUAACGGCUCACCAAGGCUUCGACGGGUAGCUGGUCUGAGAGGACGAUCAGCCACACUGGCACUGCGACACGGGCCAGACUCC